AUAUUUUUUAAGGGUUAAUUUCAUACAGCUCCUUGUAAACACAUUGAAUAACAAAUAUAUCUCUACAAAGUUCAUCUUUUCAUAUUUAUUUCUGUAAAAGUUCAUUGAUAAUCAUAUUUGCCCCUUCAGUUUGUUAUCGUUAGAGCACUUUAUUUUUUAAUAGAAGAAAAGUGAAAUGAUAUUUUUACCAUCAUAAAUAUGUUCCUCCAAAAGCCCCAACUGUUAGAAUUAUGCGAAAAUAUCCUCCAAAAAAAUUUCAACGAUCAUCUUCCUUCUUUCUACCAUCACAUAUAAUAUAAGAAGGGUAAAAAAGCCAAUUUACCUCAUUCACUAAUCAUAAUGAACUAUUUUACCUAUGGUCAACUAUAUUUUUCUAACAGAUCCUAACAGCGGAAAUAUAUAUUUAAAAAUAUUAGAACUUUUGUGUAGUAUCCUUUUAUAUAUAUAUAUAUAUAUAUAUAUAUAUAUAUAUAUAUAUAUAUAUAUAUAUGCCACGUGCCCCCAAGUAUGCAUGCAUGCAUGCUUAUCCAUUUAGAGGGUUGCAACCUACGCCUCCUUAAUUAAAUUUCCUCUCUCUCUUUUCUCUGGAGCCGUACGCAACUAGGAGGAGAACCCGGUUGGAGCUCGUGUGUCGCCGACGUCGCGCCGCGGUACCGUAUGAGCAUGUGUUCGUCGUCGUAACAUCGCGAGAAGGCCGGGCGAGGGUGCGUUUACGUCGUUUUCGACGUCGCGCCGGAUUGGGUUUUGCGUUUGAGGUAGGUUUAUCAUCGAAUUUCUACUCCUAUAGCCUUGUUAGUCAACAUGUAUAGUUAGGAUAUCUGCGUUGGUACUGU
This 833-nucleotide long non-coding RNA is filed under the name Ananas comosus (pineapple). RNAcentral describes it as "long non-coding RNA (ACOM_LNC008682)". The record is from RNAcentral. Lineage: Eukaryota; Viridiplantae; Streptophyta; Magnoliopsida; Poales; Bromeliaceae.